UUUCCGUAGGUGAACCUGCGGAAGGAUCAUUACCGAGUGAGGGCCCUCUGGGUCCAACCCCCCACCCGUGUUUAUCGUACCUUGUUGCUUCGGCGGGCCCGCCUCACGGCCGCCGGGGGGCACCCGCCCCCGGGCCCGCGCCCGCCGAAGACACCAUUGAACGCUGUCUGAAGAUUGCAGUCUGAGCAUCUUAGCUAAAUCAGUUAAAACUUUCAACAACGGAUCUCUUGGUUCCG
This 236-nucleotide unclassified non-coding RNA is filed under the name plant metagenome. RNAcentral's name for it is "partial contains small subunit ribosomal RNA, internal transcribed spacer 1, and 5.8S ribosomal RNA". The record is from RNAcentral.